UUUGCCACGUCAGCUUAUCGUUAGCUUAUC
RNAcentral lists this non-coding RNA (30 nucleotides) under Mus musculus (house mouse). Lineage: Eukaryota; Metazoa; Chordata; Mammalia; Rodentia; Muridae. The record is from RNAcentral.